CCUACGGGAGGCAGCAGUGAGGAAUAUUGGUCAAUGGGCUUACGCCUGAACCAGCCAAGUCGCGUGAGGGAAGACUGCCCUAUGGGUUGUAAACCUCUUUUGUCAGGGAGCAACGCCGGCUACGUGUAGCCGGACUGAGAGUACCUGAAGAAAAAGCAUCGGCUAACCCCGUGCCAGCAGCCGCGGUAAUACGGAGGAUGCGAGUGUUAUGCGGUUUUAUUGGGUUUAAGGGGUGCGUAGGCGGAAUGCCAAGUCAGCGGUAAAAUCGCGGGGCACAAGCGCGCUGCGCCGUUGAUACUGGCGUUCUUGAGUGGGCAAGAAGUAUGAGGAAUGCGUGGUGUAGCGGUGAAAUGCAUAGAUAUCACGCAGAACUCCGAUUGCGAAGGCAGCAUACCGGCGCCCAACUGACGCUGAAGCACGAAAGCGUGGGUAUCGAACAGGAUUAGAUACCCUUGUAGUC
Molecule: ribosomal RNA, 460 nt
Filed under: uncultured bacterium
Lineage: Bacteria
Description: partial 16S ribosomal RNA
Rfam family: Bacterial small subunit ribosomal RNA
Source: RNAcentral